AGACCCGAAACCCGGUGAUCUAGCCAUGGGCAGGUUGAAGGUUGGGUAACACUAACUGGAGGACCGAACCGACUAAUGUUGAAAAAUUAGCGGAUGACUUGUGGCUGGGGGUGAAAGGCCAAUCAAACCGGGAGAUAGCUGGUUCUCCCCGAAAGCUAUUUAGGUAGCGCCUCGUGAAUUCAUCUCCGGGGGUAGAGCACUGUUUCGGCAAGGGGGUCAUCCCGACUUACCAACCCGAUGCAAACUGCGAAUACCGGAGAAUGUUAUCACGGGAGACACACGGCGGGUGCUAACGUCCGUCGUGAAGAGGGAAACAACCCAGACCGCCAGCUAAGGUCCCAAAGUCAUGGUUAAGUGGGAAACGAUGUGGGAAGGCCCAGACAGCCAGGAUGUUGGCUUAGAAGCAGCCAUCAUUUAAAGAAAGCGUAAUAGCUCACUGGUCGAGUCGGCCUGCGCGGAAGAUGUAACGGGGCUAAACCAUGCACCGAAGCUGCGGCAGCGACACUGUGU
This 510-nucleotide ribosomal RNA is filed under the name Escherichia coli. Its description in RNAcentral is "partial 23S ribosomal RNA". It matches the Rfam family "Bacterial large subunit ribosomal RNA", at positions 711 to 1219 of the family's 2925-position model. The record is from RNAcentral. Lineage: Bacteria; Pseudomonadati; Pseudomonadota; Gammaproteobacteria; Enterobacterales; Enterobacteriaceae. RNAcentral also lists the same sequence under 1 other name.